Molecule: ribosomal RNA, 449 nt
Filed under: uncultured bacterium
Lineage: Bacteria
Description: bacterial SSU rRNA
Rfam family: Bacterial small subunit ribosomal RNA
Source: RNAcentral
UUGCCAGACUCCUACGGGAGGCAGCAGUGGGGAAUAUUGCACAAUGGGGGAAACCCUGAUGCAGCGACGCCGCGUGAGCGAUGAAGUAUUUCGGUAUGUAAAGCUCUAUCAGCAGGGAAGAAGAUGACGGUACCUGACUAAGAAGCCCCGGCUAACUACGUGCCAGCAGCCGCGGUAAUACGUAGGGGGCAAGCGUUAUCCGGAUUUACUGGGUGUAAAGGGAGCGUAGACGGCAGUGCAAGUCUGGAGUGAAAGGCGGGGGCUCAACCCCCGGACUGCUCUGGAAACUGUACGGCUGGAGUGCAGGAGAGGUAAGUGGAAUUCCUAGUGUAGCGGUGAAAUGCGUAGAUAUUAGGAGGAACACCAGUGGCGAAGGCGGCCUGCUGGACCGUGACUGACGUUGAGGCUCGAGAGCGUGGGGAGCAAACAGGAUUAGAUACCCGCGUAUA